RNAcentral lists this ribosomal RNA (253 nucleotides) under uncultured bacterium. Its description in RNAcentral is "partial 16S ribosomal RNA". It matches the Rfam family "Bacterial small subunit ribosomal RNA", at positions 524 to 776 of the family's 1533-position model. The record is from RNAcentral.
UACGUAGGGUGCGAGCGUUAAUCGGAAUUACUGGGCGUAAAGCGUGCGCAGGCGGUGAUGUAAGACAGAUGUGAAAUCCCCGGGCUCAACCUGGGAACUGCAUUUGUGACUGCAUCGCUGGAGUACGGCAGAGGGGGAUGGAAUUCCGCGUGUAGCAGUGAAAUGCGUAGAUAUGCGGAGGAACACCGAUGGCGAAGGCAAUCCCCUGGGCCUGUACUGAUGCUCAUGCACGAAAGCGUGGGGAGCAAACAGG